GACAUCUACCAAUGAAAGACAUUUUGAUAUGUAAACUGAAGGUUAACAUGAAAUACAAGACUGGGAAGCUUCCUUGUCCCGGCCCAGGCACCCGUGGAGCAUCCCCUCCAUCAACUGGAUUGCCAUCUCCUUCUGGGUAAGUUUAAUUCCCACAAACUCUGCAAAGAAUAUGUAAUAUUAUUUGAGAUAACUCACUGAUCAGCUAAGGAACAAGCUGAAGAUGGAAACAAUCAGGUAGAUUUAUCAUUUACAAUAAUUUUGCAAUAUAAUAUUAUUCUCAAAUUACUUCAUCUUUUGCCUUUUUAGAAAGCAUGUUUGCAAAAAAAAAUUGACUUCCUUCUGUAUUGUUCUACUGGGUUUCUUGGGUAUCAAAGAUGAAAGAAUAAUAGUGCAUGAGAAUAAAAUUGAAUGCCUUGAUGCCUGGACUUUUGUUUAUAAAUGAGAUUUAUUUCUGUGUCUGAACCCCUUUCCCCUUGUUCCGUUAAAAGUCUUGGCUAACACACAGUAGUUACUUGUUAAAUACUUUGAAAAUGAAUGUUUAUGUAUAUAAACUUCCUGAAAAAUUAUAGCCUUACAGAAAAUAGAAGUGAUAUACACAGAUACUUUCUAAAGUAUGGACAAGCUUUUCUGGAUCCGUCAUUUUCAUGCUAUAGAACUUCCCAGGAGAUGUUUGUCCUUUUAGCAUAUUUAGAAUUUAACUCCUAUUUUGAUGGAGAGCAACUCCAAGUCCUUGGAAAACAAAGCUACUGAUACCAGUGUUAGGUGCUUUCAGUUUUCAUUUACUUGAGCUGCCAAUGUUAAUGUACGUAGUUUAAUUAUAUCUUACUGUAUUCUGUUAAUGUUUCUAUUUGUGGGAGCACUUUUUCAUACAGUAUGUGUGUGUGGUUGUUAUUGUAAAUCAAAUACCUUAAAUUCUAUUUGAAAUCAG
This 928-nucleotide long non-coding RNA is filed under the name Homo sapiens (human). Its description in RNAcentral is "HSALNT0252608". The record is from RNAcentral. Lineage: Eukaryota; Metazoa; Chordata; Mammalia; Primates; Hominidae.